AGCAAGGAACAUGUUUAUUUAUUCUCUGAGAUAUCAUGCGCCGCACAAAAUCACUUUAUAAUAAUAAGACUUAGUUUGGUAUCGAGGCCCAUCUACGUUAUUAGAUAAAAUGGAGUUUGGGUAAAAACAUCAACAGAUAUGCUUCAGUGUUUUCUGGCGUAAAAAAAUAUAUCAUCACGACAUGCAGAACGCAAUAUUACAUACGAAAAUAAACAUAGAUAUUUUUUCAACAAAUCUCAAUACCAAACAUGCUCUUUUAGUGACCUACGUUCAUUAUAGUAUCAUCAUAUUUAUAAAUAUUUUUAUUUUUAGAAA
RNAcentral lists this long non-coding RNA (315 nucleotides) under Ananas comosus (pineapple). RNAcentral's name for it is "long non-coding RNA (ACOM_LNC001616)". The record is from RNAcentral. Lineage: Eukaryota; Viridiplantae; Streptophyta; Magnoliopsida; Poales; Bromeliaceae.